This is a non-coding RNA of Canis lupus familiaris (dog), 330 nucleotides long. The record is from Rfam. NCBI's taxonomy places the organism in Eukaryota, Metazoa, Chordata, Mammalia, Carnivora, Canidae.
GAUUGUGCGGAUGAUCUGAUUGCAUCUGAUUGUGCGGAUGUCCAUUGAUUGCCAGGGUUGAUUUGACUGAUCUGACUGGCUAGGCAGGUCUCCUCUCCCUCCCUCACAGCUCCAUGUAGAUACCUCCUAAAGUUGCAUGCUGGAUUGAAAGGGAAGUCCUUCCCCAAUAGAGGAGGACCAUUCUUCAGUCAAGGGCAUAUGAGGCUGCGCUUCUCUGCGAGAACCUCCAAACAAGCUCUCAGGGUCCAACUGUAGGUGAAGGUAGGGUAGUCAAGCUUCCAAGACUUAAGGCACAUCCAAAUAAGUAAUUGCAUGUGGCAAUCUGCCUUU